CCUAGGGAGGCAGCAGUGGGGGAUAUUGCACAAUGGGGGGAACCCUGAUGCAGCGACGCCGCGUGGGUGAAGAAGCGCCUCGGCGCGUAAAGCCCUGUCAGCAGGGAAGAAAGAAAUGACGGUACCUGACUAAGAAGCCCCGGCUAACUACGUGCCAGCAGCCGCGGUAAUACGUAGGGGGCAAGCGUUAUCCGGAUUUACUGGGUGUAAAGGGAGCGUAGACGGCGAUGCAAGUCUGAAGUGAAAGGCGGGGGCCCAACCCCCGGACUGCUUUGGAAACUGUAUGGCUGGAGUGCAGGAGAGGUAAGUGGAAUUCCUAGUGUAGCGGUGAAAUGCGUAGAUAUUAGGAGGAACACCAGUGGCGAAGGCGGCUUACUGGACUGUAACUGACGUUGAGGCUCGAAAGCGUGGGGAGCAAACAGGAUUAGAUACCCCAGUAGUC
This 442-nucleotide ribosomal RNA is filed under the name uncultured bacterium. RNAcentral's name for it is "partial 16S ribosomal RNA". It matches the Rfam family "Bacterial small subunit ribosomal RNA", at positions 338 to 795 of the family's 1533-position model. The record is from RNAcentral.